ACCAGGGUCAUAAAACUACUCCUGGAAAUGCCCACAACUCCUACGAAAGCCUUGUCAAAUACGUGUUCUUGGGCGGCGAAAUGUCUAAUACGACCCUUUGCUGUUCUUGAUUCUUGAUUGUUUUCUUUCAGUAGAUGUUUAGCAAAUAGUAAUUUAAUUUUCAUGUCUCUGGCAUAGCAAGAUGAGGCACCAAUAUCUCCUCUUAGGGCUUUGUUAGCGGCAUAAGUUGGAACUUAUAAUAUUGCCCUAUCUGUAGACGGAGUUUUCUAUUCUCUGUAAUUUAGUGAUCUCUUCUUCAGUGAAUUCCAUAAUUUCAGCUGAAAAGAGCACUGCUGACAGUGCCCCCUUCCAGUAAGUUUUGCCAAUUAGUAAUCUGUUACAACAUCUUGCUAUUACACUGUAUGUAAUGUUAGCUAGCUCACUAGCUUUUGUUAGUCUUUGUUUUUUGAAGUCAUUGUUUAUUAAUUUUUGACUCCUUGGUAUGUUAUACUUUGAGUUACAAGAAUAUUUUCAAUACUAAUUUCUUGUUUCUGCUAUUUGCUGUAUAUUUUUUUAUACUUUCAGCUGCUUCUUCUAUUGAGUGUGAUAUAUAGCAUCUUCCAUUUGACACAAAACCCGGAACCACGUUCGGGGAUAAACCCAGACCCAGGGGGCGGAUUCUGAAACGAAGUUACGGCGUCGUAUCUGCUUAAGGCGCCGCAAGUCCGGUCGUACCGCUUCCGCUGGUAUACUCAAAACAUCGGCGCGGCCAUUUUGAGGAGAGUUACGGCGCCGCAGGUUAAGGCGGGUGUGGGCCGCCCUAAGGGCCGUACUUUAAAAACCUUUCGCCAGGCCUGGCACUGGAGUUCUCCGGGCGAUCCGAUAUUUGGUACCAUUAGACGGAAUGAACGCUUCGCCGGGCUAAGCCUCGCCAGCGCUGAGGACGAAAUAGUAAUGGAACUUGCCGCCGAACGAAAGUCCAGGCGGAGGCUUCCUUUCCCGCUGGCGAAAGGCAUAAAUUUGAAUUGUUUUACUAUGUCUGCAGUAGCAUGAGAAGUUGGACGAAUUAGAAAAGACACAAUAAUUUAUUUUUGCAAUAACUCAAGCAAGUUUUAUAAAUAUCGAUGUAUUUACAUCUUUUUUCAAGACUAUGUAGUAUCGCUCCAUGAGGAUUCAAGACGCCUGCCUCCUCCGGCCAACCCAAGAGGACCUGCUGGGCAGCGACGCCCUCAGCCUCAACACUGCCUUCCACGCCCUCAAGUGCACGCAAACCUUCCUGCAGAAGUCGGGGCAACUCGACAGGAUCUAACUCCCACCCUGGUGACAGGACGGCCAACACAUCUCUAACAAAAGCUUAGCCUCUGUUGUUUUGCCCAGUCAUGAGUCCCCUCAUACUCCUCCCACGUCUCACUUAGUUGCUUCCUCUGCCUCUAACCUUGAAGUAUGUUCAAAAGAUGGGAACCCUAAAAAAAAACUCACAUAGAACUUCCUUCUCCGCAAAAUCUGAGUAAUUCUUCUGUAAAUAACCUCUUCAUUACUUUUGUUCUUUUGAAUCUCAACUGUUUAAUCAAUAAAGUUAACUUUUUGGCAGAGUUCGUUUCUAGUCACAGUAUUGGGGUAUGUUGUGUUUGUGAAACUUGGUUAACUUGCAAUGUUUCUGAUCCAGUUAUCAGUAUAUUGGGUUAUAAAUUUUUCCGAAAUGACUCUCCCUUAAAUCUAAGAAUUCACGGUGUUGGGAUUUACAUUCGUGAUGAUAUUAAAGUGGGGAAAACUUAUUCAGAUCAUCCGAAUACUGUUGGGGUAUUUUUGCCUGAUUUUGGCGUUACUAUAUUAGCAGUUUACAGGCCCCCAAGUAAUUCUUUGAAAGAUAAUAUUGCUCCUGUUUCAUACCUGGAAUCUUUCUGUGUUGGUAAAGAAUUAAUACAGGUUGGUGACUUUAAUCUCCCUACUGUUGUCUGGUCCACUGAGGUUCCUUAUUGCACUUCCUCUAUUGAUAUUAGAUUUCUAGAUUUGUUUACAUCUUUGGGUCUCAUGCAGUGGGUUACGCAAAAUACCUAUGUCCGGUCUAAUAAUAUACUUGAUUUGGUCUUUACAUCUGAAGAUGAUAGAAUUUCCCAUGUUGAUAUAAUAGACCCCUUUCCAGGUUGUGACCAUUUUCCAGUUUUGUUUGAGUAUUUAUUUAGUUCUAAUCCAAACAUUAAUAAUGUACAUAACAACUUUGACUUUUAUAAUGGCAACUACACCUUGUUAAACCAUCACAUUUUGAAUUUUGAUUGGGAUAAUGAAUUCCUUGGCUUAGAUAUUGAACAAUCAUAUUUAAGAUUUAAAAGUUUAAUGCUUAAUGCCAUUCAGCUAUUUAUUCCAGUUAAGAAGACAACAGGAGUCAGGAAACCUCCUUGGGCAAAAUCUAUACCUCCUUCUCUAAAACGGCAUAAACGACAAGUAUGGUUGGAGUAUAAGGAUGCUCGGACAAAGUUUGGCAGAUCUUCCCCAAUAGCCUUGAGGUUGUGGCAUUCUUUUAAGACAAUAUCUCUUCAAUAUAAAGAUGCUGUCCAUCAAUCUGUAAUUAAAUAUGAAAGAUCUUUAGUUUCUCCCGGAAAUCCUGAUGUUAAAUGUUUUCACUCCUAUCUUCGUAGCAAGAAGGUUCAGCGUCCUACUAUUGGACCGCUGUCGAGUUGUCGAGUUGUUUCAGAGACCAUUUGGCUUAGAUAAUUUUUUUCUAAAAAUUCGAUCAUUCUAUGUGACUCGCCUUCUGUACCUGACAAUGUCGCCCAGUCGAUAUGGGGGAGGUUAAAGUCUUCUAAUAUCAGUGAGUCGCUGUUAUUAAGUGACUGUCUUAAAAUGCUGUACAUUUCAAGGUCGCCAUUGAGUGAUUG
Molecule: long non-coding RNA, 2855 nt
Organism: Eriocheir sinensis (Chinese mitten crab)
Lineage: Eukaryota; Metazoa; Arthropoda; Malacostraca; Decapoda; Varunidae
Exons: 2
Source: RefSeq, a predicted model, not a curated record